CCUACGGGCGGCAGCAGUGGGGAAUAUUGGACAAUGGGCGAAAGCCUGAUCCAGCCAUGCCGCGUGUGUGAAGAAGGCCUUCGGGUUGUAAAGCACUUUCAGUGGGGAAGAAAGCCUUGGGGCUAAUACCCUCGAGGAAGGACAUCACCCACAGAAGAAGCACCGGCUAACUCCGUGCCAGCAGCCGCGGUAAUACGGAGGGUGCGAGCGUUAAUCGGAAUUACUGGGCGUAAAGCGCGCGUAGGCGGUCUGAUAAGCCGGUUGUGAAAGCCCCGGGCUCAACCUGGGAACGGCAUCCGGAACUGUCAGGCUAGAGUGCAGGAGAGGAAGGUAGAAUUCCCGGUGUAGCGGUGAAAUGCGUAGAGAUCGGGAGGAAUACCAGUGGCGAAGGCGGCCUUCUGGACUGACACUGACGCUGAGGUGCGAAAGCGUGGGUAGCAAACAGGAUUAAAUACCCUAGUAGUC
Molecule: ribosomal RNA, 465 nt
Filed under: Vreelandella stevensii
Lineage: Bacteria; Pseudomonadati; Pseudomonadota; Gammaproteobacteria; Oceanospirillales; Halomonadaceae
Description: partial 16S ribosomal RNA
Rfam family: Bacterial small subunit ribosomal RNA
Source: RNAcentral